RNAcentral lists this ribosomal RNA (205 nucleotides) under uncultured Thiobacillus sp. RNAcentral's name for it is "partial 16S ribosomal RNA". It matches the Rfam family "Bacterial small subunit ribosomal RNA", at positions 1178 to 1382 of the family's 1533-position model. Lineage: Bacteria; Pseudomonadati; Pseudomonadota; Betaproteobacteria; Nitrosomonadales; Thiobacillaceae. The record is from RNAcentral.
AGUGACGUCAAGUCCUCAUGGCCCUUAUCGGUAGGGCUUCACACGUCAUACAAUGGUCGGUACAGAGGGUUGCCAAGCCGCGAGGCGGAGCCAAUCCCACAAAGCCGAUCGUAGUCCGGAUUGUUCUCUGCAACUCGAGAGCAUGAAGUCGGAAUCGCUAGUAAUCGCAGGUCAGCAUACUGCGGUGAAUACGUUCCCGGGUCUU